AACGAACGCUGGCGGCAGGCCUAACACAUGCAAGUCGAGCGCCCCGCAAGGGGAGCGGCGGCCGGGUGAGUAACGCGUGGGAAUAUGCCCUUUGCUACGGAAUAGUCUCGGGAAACUGGGGGUAAUACCGUAUACGCCCUUUGGGGGAAAGAUUUAUCGGCGAAGGAUUAGCCCGCGUUGGAUUAGGUAGUUGGUGGGGUAAUGGCCUACCAAGCCGACGAUCCAUAGCCGGUUUGAGAGGAUGAUCAGCCACACUGGGACUGAGACACGGCCCAGACUCCUACGGGAGGCAGCAGUGGGGAAUCUUAGACAAUGGGGGCAACCCUGAUCUAGCCAUGCCGCGUGAGUGAUGAAGGCCUUAGGGUUGUAAAGCUCUUUCAGCUGGGAAGAUAAUGACGGUACCAGCAGAAGAAGCCCCGGCUAACUCCGUG
This 431-nucleotide ribosomal RNA is filed under the name uncultured bacterium. RNAcentral's name for it is "partial 16S ribosomal RNA". It matches the Rfam family "Bacterial small subunit ribosomal RNA", at positions 29 to 507 of the family's 1533-position model. The record is from RNAcentral.